CCUCACUAGGACACUUCUUUGUUAAAACCAUGAAGUUCCUGCUGUUCUUGUUUUCUUUGGUGGCCUUUCAAAAAUGUAAGUGUAUUCUAUGGGAAGAUAAAAAAUAUAGGUUUAUUUCAUGCAGUGAUUAGAAGAUGUUCAUUAGAUGAUGCUCAAUUCAAUUCAUUAUUGUUCUCUCUUUUCAAGGGGUCCUUUCCGAUGUUCAGCUUGUUUCUUCUGGGCCAAGCACAGUGAGACCUGGAGAGAACCUUCGUCUGCUUUGUAAAGUUACUGGUGUCUCCAUCACUGAUUCAAGUUCUGUUUGGAACUGGAUCCGUCAGCCUGCUGGCAAAGGUCUAGAGUGGGUUGCAAGAAUAUACCCCUAUGAUGGGAGAAAAUGGUUUGCUGCUUCUCUUCAGAGCCGUGUAACAAUUUCUUCAGACAACUCCAAGAACGAGUUCUCCCUCCAACUGAACUCCCUGACAGCUGCAGACUCAGCCGUGUAUUUCUGUGCUCGAGAUAG
Molecule: non-coding RNA, 502 nt
Organism: Podarcis lilfordi (Lilford's wall lizard)
Lineage: Eukaryota; Metazoa; Chordata; Lepidosauria; Squamata; Lacertidae
Source: the annotation of a GenBank genome assembly